RNAcentral lists this ribosomal RNA (468 nucleotides) under uncultured bacterium. RNAcentral describes it as "partial 16S ribosomal RNA". It matches the Rfam family "Bacterial small subunit ribosomal RNA", at positions 28 to 507 of the family's 1533-position model. The record is from RNAcentral.
GACGAACGCUGGCGGCGUGCUUAACACAUGCAAGUCGAACGGAAAGGCCCUGCUUUUGUGGGGUGCUCGAGUGGCGAACGGGUGAGUAACACGUGAGUAACCUGCCCUUGACUUUGGGAUAACUUCAGGAAACUGGGGCUAAUACCGGAUAGGAGCUCCUGCUGCAUGGUGGGGGUUGGAAAGUUUCGGCGGUUGGGGCUGGACUCGCGGCUUAUCAGCUUGUUGGUGGGGUUGUGGCUUACCAAGGCUUUGACGGGUAGCCGGCCUGAGAGGGUGACCGGCCACAAUGGGACUGAGAUACGGCCCAGACUCCAACGGGAGGCAGCAGUGGGGAAUAUUGCACAAUGGGCGGAAGCCUGAUGCAGCGACGCCGCGUGCGGGAUGACGGCCUUCGGGUUGUAAACCGCUUUCGCCUGUGACGAAGCGUGAGUGACGGUAAUGGGUAAAGAAGCACCGGCUAACUACGUG